GCGGUCACGUUCGAGGCUGUUGUGGUUGUGGCGGCGGCGGCGGCGGAGGCGGUGGAGGCGGUGGCAGCGGUG
Molecule: microRNA precursor, 72 nt
Filed under: Petromyzon marinus (sea lamprey)
Lineage: Eukaryota; Metazoa; Chordata; Hyperoartia; Petromyzontiformes; Petromyzontidae
Description: miRNA (ENSPMAG00000011748.1)
Source: RNAcentral